UUCCAAUUUAGCUAAUUGUGCAUCUAACUCUUUCCGUUGGAGGCAUAAGGUCUCCAAAGUCUCCUUUGCCUGUUGGAUCUUGCACAUUUGAAUUAAUUUCCUCAUGUCUUUCCCUUCGUCCCGAUCUUGGUGAGUAUGGGUUCGGGACUGGUUGUUUAUCCCGUGGUUAUAAGGAUCAAGAGCCUUCUAACUUGUAGAAAAUAACUGUAGUCCAGCCAAAGCUGACUGAGAUUAUGUUGGGACCAAUGUGGGAUCAUUGGAUCUGAGCCUGUCUUUGACCGACCUACGAACCUG
RNAcentral lists this long non-coding RNA (294 nucleotides) under Panax ginseng (ginseng). Its description in RNAcentral is "long non-coding RNA (PGIN_LNC013892)". The record is from RNAcentral. Lineage: Eukaryota; Viridiplantae; Streptophyta; Magnoliopsida; Apiales; Araliaceae.